This 494-nucleotide ribosomal RNA is filed under the name uncultured bacterium. RNAcentral describes it as "partial 16S ribosomal RNA". It matches the Rfam family "Bacterial small subunit ribosomal RNA", at positions 28 to 507 of the family's 1533-position model. The record is from RNAcentral.
GACGAACGCUGGCGGCGUGCUUAACACAUGCAAGUCGAACGGAAAGGCCUGUCCUUCCUUGUGUUGGACGGUUACUCGAGUGGCGAACGGGUGAGUAACACGUGAGUGAUCUGCCCCCAACUUGGGUAUAAGCCUGGGAAACUGGGUCUAAUUCCCGAUAGGACUGCAGGGUGGUGCCUGUGGUGGAAAACGAUUUUCUAGUGGUUGGGGAUGAGCUCGCGGCCUAUCAGCUUGUUGGUGGGGUAAUGGCCUACCAAGGCGGCGACGGGUAGCCGGCCUGGGAGGGUGGACGGGCACAUUGGGACUGAGAUACGGCCCAGACUCCUACGGGAGGCAGCAGUGGGGAAAAAUGCACGAUGGGCGGAAGCCUGAUGCAGCGACGCCGCGUGGGGGAUGACGGCCUUCGGGUUGUAAACUCCUUGCGACCGCGAGGAAGCCGCCUGGUUGGAAGGGUGGUGACGGUAGUGGUAGAAGAAGCACCGGCUAACUACGUG